Saccostrea cuccullata (small rock oyster) is the source of this 243-nucleotide long non-coding RNA. RefSeq lists it as uncharacterized. NCBI's taxonomy places the organism in Eukaryota, Metazoa, Mollusca, Bivalvia, Ostreida, Ostreidae. The record is from RefSeq and is a predicted model, not a curated record. The transcript is spliced from 4 exons.
CAGCAUUACACAAUGUUGUUCUGGUUAUCGAACAAUCAAUGGUUCCUGUACAGCGUGUGUUGGUUUUUAUGGGCAGAAUUGUACACAUCCAUGUAAAGAUGACUAUUACGGUGAAAAAUGUGAGCUUCGCUGUAAUUGUUCCUUGGGUGAAAGUUGCAACCCUUAUGUAGGAUGUCUCUCAGAUGAGACAAGAGAAAGAAGUUUCUCAGGUGAGACAGGUGAGACAGGUUUCUCAGGUGAGAC